GAUCAACGCUGGCGGCGUGCCUAAUACAUGCAAGUCGAGCGAACGGACGAGAAGCUUGCUUCUCUGAUGUUAGCGGCGGACGGGUGAGUAACACGUGGAUAACCUACCUAUAAGACUGGGAUAACUUCGGGAAACCGGAGCUAAUACCGGAUAAUAUUUUGAACCGCAUGGUUCAAAAGUGAAAGACGGUCUUGCUGUCACUUAUAGAUGGAUCCGCGCUGCAUUAGCUAGUUGGUAAGGUAACGGCUUACCAAGGCAACGAUGCAUAGCCGACCUGAGAGGGGGAUCGGCCACACUGGAACUGAGACACGGUCCAGACUCCUACGGGGGGCAGCAGUAGGGAAUCUUCCGCAAUGGGCGAAAGCCUGACGGAGCAACGCCGCGUGAGUGAUGAAGGUCUUCGGAUCGUAAAACUCUGUUAUUAGGGAAGAACAUAUGUGUAAGUAACUGUGCACAGCUUGACGGUACCUAAUCAGAAAGCCACGGCUAACUACGUG
RNAcentral lists this ribosomal RNA (497 nucleotides) under uncultured bacterium. RNAcentral describes it as "partial 16S ribosomal RNA". It matches the Rfam family "Bacterial small subunit ribosomal RNA", at positions 28 to 507 of the family's 1533-position model. The record is from RNAcentral.